UGGAAUGUAUCAACUCUGAGAUAGGAGGCAUUUUGGCAAAACUUGACCAUUUGACCAUUGCACUGGUCAAUCCUGUAUAUAUAAUGUCUUGUGAAGGCAGGUGGGGGCUAGACACUGCCCAUUAAAAAGGGAUCAUUUCUGACCUGUGACAAAAAGAGAACUCCAGGGGAGAGCUCAGAAAACCCUGGGAUGGUCUUGCUGGAAUUAGCAGAUGCCAACAGGCUUGGCUGCCUCAAACUGAAAAGCACUUGGGCAACUUUUAAGAUCACAGUGUAAGAAAACUCAGAUAAUGGGCUGGAGAGGAUUACAGAUAUCUUUCCCUAUCACUUCUUCUUCAAUUAGUGCUUAUUAGUAGCCAAGUUGGGGGUUGAGGAGGCAAAAAUCAAACAGCAGAAAAUAA
Microcebus murinus (gray mouse lemur) is the source of this 400-nucleotide non-coding RNA. The record is from RefSeq and is a predicted model, not a curated record. NCBI's taxonomy places the organism in Eukaryota, Metazoa, Chordata, Mammalia, Primates, Cheirogaleidae.